RNAcentral lists this ribosomal RNA (566 nucleotides) under uncultured fungus. RNAcentral describes it as "eukaryotic LSU rRNA". The stretch from base 214 to 367 matches the Rfam family "5.8S ribosomal RNA". The record is from RNAcentral. Lineage: Eukaryota; Fungi.
UUGGUCAUUUAGAGGAAGUAAAAGUCGUAACAAGGUCUCCGUAGGUGAACCUGCGGAGGGAUCAUUACUGAGUGAGGGCCUUCGGGCUCGACCUCCAACCCUUUGUGAACACAACUUGUUGCUUCGGGGGCGACCCUGCCGUUUCGACGGCGAGCGCCCCCGGAGGCCUUCAAACACUGCAUCUUUGCGUCGGAGUUUAAGUAAAUUAAACAAAACUUUCAACAACGGAUCUCUUGGUUCUGGCAUCGAUGAAGAACGCAGCGAAAUGCGAUAAGUAAUGUGAAUUGCAGAAUUCAGUGAAUCAUCGAAUCUUUGAACGCACAUUGCGCCCCUUGGUAUUCCGAGGGGCAUGCCUGUUCGAGCGUCAUUUCACCACUCAAGCCUCGCUUGGUAUUGGGCGCCGCGGUGUUCCGCGCGCCUCAAAGUCUCCGGCUGAGCUGUCCGUCUCUAAGCGUUGUGAUUUCAUUAAUCGCUUCGGAGCGCGGGCGGUCGCGGCCGUUAAAUCUUUCACAAGGUUGACCUCGGAUCAGGUAGGGAUACCCGCUGAACUUAAGCAUAUCAAUAAG